UACGUAGGUGGCAAGCGUUGUCCGGAUUUACUGGGCGUAAAGAGCUCGUAGGCGGUUUGUCGCGUCUGCCGUGAAAGUCCGGGGCUCAACUCCGGAUCUGCGGUGGGUACGGGCAGACUAGAGUGAUGUAGGGGAGACUGGAAUUCCUGGUGUAGCGGUGAAAUGCGCAGAUAUCAGGAGGAACACCGAUGGCGAAGGCAGAUCUCUGGGCCGUAACUGACGCUGAGGAGCGAAAGCAUGGGGAGCGAACAGG
RNAcentral lists this ribosomal RNA (253 nucleotides) under uncultured bacterium. RNAcentral describes it as "partial 16S ribosomal RNA". It matches the Rfam family "Bacterial small subunit ribosomal RNA", at positions 524 to 776 of the family's 1533-position model. The record is from RNAcentral.